RNAcentral lists this long non-coding RNA (958 nucleotides) under Numida meleagris (helmeted guineafowl). Its description in RNAcentral is "lncRNA (ENSNMEG00000007289.1)". Lineage: Eukaryota; Metazoa; Chordata; Aves; Galliformes; Numididae. The record is from RNAcentral.
AUCUUGCUUCCUUGGCAGAUUAACGAGGAGCAUUUAACAUCCUUUCUCACUGAUUUCCUUUAAUUUAUUCCUCCCAUAUUUAUUCUUAUUCUGUUUUAAGACUGGCCAGAAAUGAUAUUGAAUUAAUGCAGUAGAUAUGGAAGAAAUUAGAUAACUGCCUUGCUUCUUUUGAUGUUGUGUUAAAUUGCCUACUAUCUGGCAGUGACCAGAUGGUGUUGUUUUUGAAGUGUUUGUCAACUGGCAACAUCUAUUUGUCUCAUACAAUUGAGUCUUCUUUUUUUUGGUAGCAAUCGUAAUCUCACCAGCAGAAACAGACACAGGUAUCCACAGUCUCCAAAGAGCUUUUAGACCAGGACACUCAUCUCUGUUAGAAGACCCAAGUGCUACCACUUUGAGAGGAAGCAGGAUGGGAAAGCAUGAGAAAAAGUUUUCAAAUCAAACUGGAAAUGAGUGCCACAGGGAAGUCCCUGAGAAGUGUACAUUUGGUGCCAUCCAAGAGCCCCAGCAGGAUCGGUACUGGACUGACCCAGCUGGAGGCAGGAACAGCUACAGACACAGAACCAGCAGGGCAUUCGUGCAAUGAGGAACAGUAUUCCUAGGUGCCCUCUCACUCACAUGGACAGUAGUAAGAGGAAAAAUGUGAAAAGUACCUGUAUGUAAAAAAAAAAGGAAACUAUAGAAAGUACCUCUGCCUUCUAAGUUAACACAGAUAUUACUAAGACCUCUCAGAAGUAUUUAAUCAAGCAAAAAGUGUGUGGCAGCAUAGCUAUAAAUUCUGAAAUAAUAGAAUGAGAUGUUAAUAACCUCUUCUAGUUCCGCAUUGCACUUCAUCCAGUAACAUCAACAAAAUAACAUUACUCAAGUGGCUGUUCUGGUAGGCUGUAUUAAGAUGUUUCUCAUUUUGUGUUUUGUUCCCUCGAAAAGAAUAAAUAGCACUACUCUUAUUUUUAGCUUUUCA